GACAUCAAGGCCCUCGGGUACACUAGGGGAGCCAGUUCACAGAUGGAGAAAACGAAGUCCAGAACGGCAGAGUCUGAACUCUGUGGAGGAGCUGGCAGGUGGACCCAUGUGAUAAAUUCUAUCCAGUGAAAUGUGAGGGGAACUGAUGUGUACGUCAUUCUCGGCUGAGCUGGUUGAGCAUGGGUUUCUCCUCCAUCACCUCCCCUCUUCUGGCGGCUGGCUGGAUGCUGAUCCUCAGGGAAACCCUGGAAGACCUGUUGCAGAUGAGUGAGCCCCCAUCUGCCAGAUUCCUGAGUGACUGACUGCAUGAAGCAGCUCCUCCUCCUCGUUGACCAU
Molecule: long non-coding RNA, 336 nt
Organism: Rhinopithecus roxellana (golden snub-nosed monkey)
Lineage: Eukaryota; Metazoa; Chordata; Mammalia; Primates; Cercopithecidae
Exons: 3
Source: RefSeq, a predicted model, not a curated record